AUACGUAGGUGACAAGCGUUAUCCGGAUUUAUUGGGUUUAAAGGGAGCGCAGGCGGAGAUGCAAGCGUGACGUCAAAUUUCGGGGCUCAACCCCGUCUCGCGUCGCGAACUGCGUCCCUUGGUUGCGGGAAGGGGAGGCGGAACUCGUGGUGUAGCGGUGAAAUGCAUAGAUAUCACGAAGAACUCCGAUCGCGAAGGCAGCCUUCCGGCCCGUCAACGACGCUCAUGCUCGAAGGUGCGGGUAUCAAACAGGAUUAGAUACCCUGGUAGUCCGCACAGUAAACGAUGGACACCCGCGGUUUGGCCUGUAUGGCUGAGCCGCCAAGCGAAAGCGUUAAGUGUCCCACCUGGGGAGUACGCCGGCAACGGUGAAACUCAAAUGAAUUGACGGGG
RNAcentral lists this ribosomal RNA (393 nucleotides) under uncultured bacterium. Its description in RNAcentral is "partial 16S ribosomal RNA". It matches the Rfam family "Bacterial small subunit ribosomal RNA", at positions 523 to 918 of the family's 1533-position model. The record is from RNAcentral.